This 220-nucleotide ribosomal RNA is filed under the name Enterovibrio norvegicus. RNAcentral describes it as "partial 23S ribosomal RNA". It matches the Rfam family "Bacterial large subunit ribosomal RNA", at positions 1472 to 1688 of the family's 2925-position model. Lineage: Bacteria; Pseudomonadati; Pseudomonadota; Gammaproteobacteria; Vibrionales; Vibrionaceae. The record is from RNAcentral.
ACGGAGAAGGCUAGGUGGGCCUCGCGACGGUUGUCGAGGUUCAAGUGCGUAGGCAGGGGGAUUAGGCAAAUCCGGUUCCCUAUAUGCUGAGACACGAUGUCGAGCCACUACGGUGGUGAAGUCAUUGAUGCCAUGCUUCCGGGAAAAGCCUCUAAGCUUCAGGUUGUAAGGAAUCGUACCCCAAACCGACACAGGUGGUCGGGUAGAGAAUACCAAGGCG